This 468-nucleotide ribosomal RNA is filed under the name uncultured bacterium. Its description in RNAcentral is "partial 16S ribosomal RNA". It matches the Rfam family "Bacterial small subunit ribosomal RNA", at positions 28 to 507 of the family's 1533-position model. The record is from RNAcentral.
GACGAACGCUGGCGGCGUGCUUAACACAUGCAAGUCGAACGGAAAGGCCCUGCUUUUGUGGGGUGCUCGAGUGGCGAACGGGUGAGUAACACGUGAGUAACCUGCCCUUGACUGUGGGAUAACUUCAGGAAACUGGGGCUAAUACCGGAUAGGAGCUCCUGCUGCAUGGGGGGGGUUGGAAAGUUUCGGCGGUUGGGGAUGGACUCGCGGCUUAUCAGCUUGUUGGUGGGGUAGUGGCUUACCAAGGCUUUGACGGGUAGCCGGCCUGAGAGGGUGACCGGCCACAUUGGGACUGCGAUACGGCCCAGACUCCUACGGGAGGCAGCAGUGGGGAAUAUUGCACAAUGGGCGGAAGCCUGAUGCAGCAACGCCGCGUGCGGGAUGACGGCCUUCGGGUUGUAAACCGCUUUCGCCUGUGACGAAGCGUGAGUGACGGUAAUGGGUAAAGAAGCACCGGCUAACUACGUG